AUGGACACAUUCCUCUUCCUUGCCAUUCUUCCAUUGCUCACUGCUCUGCCAUGCUCAUAUGCUCAGUCGAUGCUAAGCACUGGCUCAUCCUUAUCUGUAGAAGAGCAUAGGCAGACCUUCCUUACCUCACCAAAUGAUGAUUUUUCUUGCGGCUUCUAUGAAGUUGGAGAGAAUGCAUUCUCCUUCUCUAUCUGGUUCACCACCACCAUGGAAAAGACUGUUGUAUGGUCUGCAAACCCCAGGUCCUUGGUGAAUGGCCAUGGUUCCAUGGUGUCUCUGAACCAUAAUGGAAACUUGGUCCUCACUGAUGUCAAUGGCACCGUAACUUGGGAGAGCAAGACAAGCUCUGGUGAGGGCACGGUGGUUUCCCUUCUUGACACCGGCAACCUCAUAAUCAAAGACUACACUGGUGCAAAUUUGUGGGAAAGCUUCUCUUCACCGACAGAUACAUUGCUGCCUUUACAGACUCUCAAAAAAGACUACACAGUGUUUCAAAAUGGGCGGACUAGCUACAACAGCUCUAGGAUUGCAGUCCUCGACACUGAAGGAUUUUUCCUCUCAAGUGAUGGGCUGAAUGUUAAGGCUUCUGAUUGGGGUAAUGGAGUCAAGCGAAGGCUUACAAUUGGGUCUGAUGGAAACCUCAGAAUGUACAGUCUGAAUGUGUCAAAUGGGAGUUGGAUAGUAUCAUGGCAGGCUAUAGCAAAAUUGUGCGAUGUGCAUGGGCUAUGUGGACAAAAUGGGAUAUGUGAGUUCUUGCCAAGUUUCAGGUGUUCAUGUCCCCCAGGAUAUGAGAUGACCGAUCCGGAAAACUGGAACAGAGGUUGCAAGCCGCAAUUCAGCAAAGGCUGCAGCAAAGCAGAAGAGUUUGACUUCAUCAAGCUCCCUCAAACCAACUUUUAUGGCUUUGAUCUGACCAAUAAUGUGUCCGUCUCACUUGAAGAAUGUAAAAAGACAUGCUUGGACAUUUGCUCCUGCUCAGCUCUCACGUACAAGGCAGGAUCUGGACUUUGCUACACCAAAGCUGUACUCUUCAAUGGUUACAGCUCCACAAAUUUUCCUGGCGACAACUAUAUCAAACUGCCCAAGAAUAUGAGCAUCUCCAGACAGUCCCGUAUCACAUGCAAUCCGGAUAUUCGAGUGGUUGUACAAGGAUCUGCAAGUAUGUAUGGAAUGAAUGAUGUCAACAAGAGUUAUACAAUUUAUUAUGUGUUCGCAGCAAUACUGGGAGCCCUAGUCUUGCUCUUUAUCGGUACAAGCUGGUCGUUUCUUUACAGCAAGCAAAAUAUACCUAAGUCAAUGGAAGAAGGUUAUAGGACUGUGAUGAGCCAGUUCAGGAUGUUCAUCUACAGGGAAUUACGGGAAGCAACUGGAAAGUUCAAGGAAGAGAUUGGAAGAGGGGGUUCGGGAAUUGUUUAUAGAGGGGUACUUGAAGAUAAGAGAGUGGUGGCAGUGAAGAAACUAACUAGCGUUUCACAUAGUGAGGAGGAAUUCUGGGCAGAAAUGAAUAUAAUCGGAAGGAUCAACCAUAUGAAUUUAGUAAGGGUGUGGGGGUUUUGCUCUGAGGGUCAACACAAACUGCUGGUGUACGAGUAUGUAGAGAGUGAAUCACUUGACAAGUUUAUAUUUGGUAAUGUAAGUGCUGAGAGAUUACUUGCAUGGAGCCAACGAUUCAAAAUAGCACUAGGAACAGCAAGAGGCUUGGCGUACCUCCAUCAUGAGUGCCUUGAAUGGGUAAUCCAUUGUGAUAUAAAGCCAGAGAACAUACUCCUGACCCGAGACUUCGAAGCAAAGAUAGCAGACUUCGGACUAGCCAAACUCUCAAAGAGAGACAGUUCCAGUUUCAAUCUCACCCACAUGAGAGGAACAAUGGGCUACAUGGCGCCAGAGUGGGCGCUGAAUUUGCCGAUCGACGCAAAGGUUGAUGUAUACAGUUAUGGCGUUGUACUUCUCGAGAUUGUGACUGGAAAUAGGAUCUCAAGUGGGAUUACAGUGGAUGGGAAAGAGGUGGAGUUUGACAGUUUGUGCAUGCAGUUAAAGAAUUGCUGGAGAGUGGAGAUGUCAAGGUUAUAG
RNAcentral lists this ribosomal RNA (2070 nucleotides) under Triticum aestivum (bread wheat). RNAcentral's name for it is "partial small subunit ribosomal RNA". Lineage: Eukaryota; Viridiplantae; Streptophyta; Magnoliopsida; Poales; Poaceae. The record is from RNAcentral.